AGACAUGGAAGCCAAGGCCUCCAACUCCGAUUUGGACCGAUGAUUAGUUAAUCUUAUUUGUGUAACUUUAUUGUGUUUGGGUCGUCCAAUUCCUACUGAAGCUUCCGUCGGCUUCAUAUCAUCAACGUGAGUCACCACCGGUCCCACGGCCACAACGUCGAUUUCCAUGGUGAAAACCGACUCUUGUAACCUUAGUAUCUGCCGACAGUCAAGCCUAGCCAUCUCUCAAGUCCAAGAAGAGUCAUCUACCUCCAUUCAAUCCACCAAUCAGAGAGGGGUACACACCGGACAAGAUACAAAUCUCGAGGACCCACCAUC
This 318-nucleotide long non-coding RNA is filed under the name Brassica napus (rape). Its description in RNAcentral is "long non-coding RNA (BNAP_LNC008908)". Lineage: Eukaryota; Viridiplantae; Streptophyta; Magnoliopsida; Brassicales; Brassicaceae. The record is from RNAcentral.